Molecule: long non-coding RNA, 1269 nt
Organism: Labeo rohita (rohu)
Lineage: Eukaryota; Metazoa; Chordata; Actinopteri; Cypriniformes; Cyprinidae
Exons: 4
Source: RefSeq, a predicted model, not a curated record
UCCGUUUUUCGUGCCUUCAGCCAUGCUUAUACGACGCUGUCAGUACUAAUACUGGCUUAUCUCUCUAGCUUUGUAAGAUUAACUUAAAUUAGAGAAAAAAGUAUAUUGUUUACAAAUAAAAGCUCCAUAUUUCCUGCUUUCCGCGUCGAAGACAACCCACACAAAUCCACGAACAUAUUGGAGACAUUAAGCCUGACAAACAUCCUGCUGACGGCAGACGGUCACACACAACUGGCUGAUUUUGGCUCCUGUCUCUGCGUGGAGGAUGAUGGACCGUCCAAAAGUGUGGGCGCCAGGCGACUACUACACACAUAGUGAAGCUGUCAGUGAUAAUCGAGGUGGCUGGAGUCCCGUCCAACAUUCACACGUCCUCACACGUCCCCUGCAAACAGGGAGCAGGUUACUGGAAUAUGCAUUCUGGGAAAUGAGGUAUGCCGCUGCGUUGGUGGUCUCGUGGGGCGACGGCUGGCCUCGGGCUGAAUGUUCACGCUGCCAUGACGGUGACCCUCCUUGCCUUACGUUCAGCUAAUUUAAACGCGAGCAGUCGCAGUUUUCCAUCACAGGCACAGAUCCAUCUGAAUGCUGAAGCUGUGUUUCCGACGGUCAGGCUUUGAUGGCCUCUCUGUCACGCCGUGUUUCUACCGGCAUCUGCAUUCCAGCGGCAGACGGACGGGUCACCGCUGGGACCGUCUGACAGAGGCGCGCGCGGUCCUCCUCCACCGUCUGUCAGCGUCACCGGUCUGUUUGAAUAUGCUGCUUGAUCCGUCACUGUCAGGCCGCUCGCGCUUCUGCAUGCGCCGUACGCUCCUCUGCUGGGAAGCUGCACGCGCCGCUUUAAUGCACGAAACGCAUCAGGUUGUCAGUGAGUGUUUGGGAAGGACGAGCCGUGCCGUCUCUCCUCCUGAUGGGAAUGAUGAACCGUGGUUCACAACACCACUAACUCGUUUAUAAAACCUUGAUGUGUUUUUGAUGGUGAAAUACAUUCUGGUAUACCAAUUUCAUGCAGAGACUAUUGGAAAGCCAUUCAUAGACUGUGAAUGAUUCCUGUGAAGUGUACACAAGGACUGUUGCAGCUCCACCAUUCAAAACUGAUCAAACAUUUUUCUUUGUGAGAGAAUUUUAUUUUAUUUUAUUUUUUUUAUUUUAUUACACUGGGCUACUGGACUAUUCAAAAACAGGCAUUUCUGUAGGGUUAUUUGGAGUAUGCAAUUAUACCUUGUUUUUAAACAAUAUUUAUUUUAUUUUAUUCAUUACACUGGGACAUUUUAU